GCGAACGGGUGAGUAACAUAUCGGAACGUACCAUUGAGUGGGGGAUAACGUAGCGAAAGUUACGCUAAUACCGCAUAUUCUCUCCGGAGGAAAGCAGGGGCUCGCAAGACCUUGCGCUCAUUGAGCGGCCGAUAUCAGAUUAGCUAGUUGGUGAGGUAACGGCCCACCAAGGCGACGAUCUGUAGCGGGUCUGAGAGGAUGAUCCGCCACACUGGAACUGAGACACGGUCCAGACUCCUACGGGAGGCAGCAGUGGGGAAUUUUGGACAAUGGGGGCAACCCUGAUCCAGCCAUGCCGCGUGAGUGAAGAAGGCCUUCGGGUUGUAAAGCUCUUUCAGCCGGGAAGAAAAUGCAUGGAUUAAUACCCUGUGCAGAUGACGGUACCGGAAUAAGAAGCACCGGCUAACUACGUGCCAGCAGCCGCGGUAAUACGUAGGGUGCGAGCGUUAAUCGGAAUUACUGGGCGUAAAGCGUGCGCAGGCGGUUGGUUAAGAUAGGCGUGAAAUCCCCGGGCUCAACCUGGGAACUGCGCUUAUGACUGGUCAGCUAGAGUACGGCAGAGGGGGGUGGAAUUCCACGUGUAGCAGUGAAAUGCGUAGAGAUGUGGAGGAACACCAAUGGCGAAGGCAGCCCCCUGGGUCGAUACUGACGCUCAUGCACGAAAGCGUGGGUAGCAAACAGGAUUAGAUACCCUGGUAGUCCACGCCCUAAACGAUGUCAACUAGGUGUUGGGAGGGUAAAACCUUUUAGUACCGUAGCUAACGCGAGAAGUUGACCGCCUGGGGAGUACGGCCGCAAGGUUAAAACUCAAAGGAAUUGACGGGGACCCGCACAAGCGGUGGAUGAUGUGGAUUAAUUCGAUGCAACGCGA
This 871-nucleotide ribosomal RNA is filed under the name uncultured bacterium. RNAcentral's name for it is "bacterial SSU rRNA". It matches the Rfam family "Bacterial small subunit ribosomal RNA", at positions 98 to 964 of the family's 1533-position model. The record is from RNAcentral.